This 396-nucleotide ribosomal RNA is filed under the name uncultured bacterium. RNAcentral's name for it is "bacterial SSU rRNA". It matches the Rfam family "Bacterial small subunit ribosomal RNA", at positions 521 to 916 of the family's 1533-position model. The record is from RNAcentral.
UAAUACGAAGGGGGCUAGCGUUGUUCGGAAUUACUGGGCGUAAAGCGCGCGUAGGCGGUUUUGCAAGCCAGAGGUGAAAUGCCUGAGCUCAACUUAGGAAUUGCCUUUGGGACUGCGAGGCUUUGAGGACUGGAGAGGUGAGUGGAAUUCCCAGUGUAGAGGUGAAAUUCGUAGAUAUUGGGAAGAACACCAGUGGCGAAGGCGGCUCACUGGCCAGUUUCUGACGCUGCAGCGCGAAAGCGUGGGGAUCAAACAGGAUUAGAUACCCUGGUAGUCCACGCUGUAAACGAUGAGUGCUAGGCGUCGGCACGCUUGCGUGUCGGUGCCGCAGCUAACGCGUGAAGCACUCCGCCUGGGGAGUACGGUCGCAAGAUUAAAACUUAAAGGAAUUGACGG